Rattus norvegicus (Norway rat) is the source of this 5217-nucleotide non-coding RNA. NCBI's taxonomy places the organism in Eukaryota, Metazoa, Chordata, Mammalia, Rodentia, Muridae. The record is from RefSeq and is a predicted model, not a curated record.
UUAUGUUUGGGCUUUAUUUAAGAGGGAAAGCACAAUCGUUUCUCACCUAGGCACAUAGGAAGAACCUGGAGAGAAGUGUGAUCAGGCCUCUGUUACCUCAUCUAAUAGCCCAUUGCCAUGGUAAAGGCAUAAUCAUAUUUAAAUUGUAUGCUAGUAUGCAUGCUCUGGGAGUGUAUAUAUGGGAAUGCAUGUUCCUUCAGGUUUAUAGGCAUGCAGGAAAGAUCAGGAACAAGGACCUGAAUCCCAGUUAUAAGGGCUCAGUGUAUUUCCUGAGGUGUUUCUUAUCUAACAUGACAGGAGUUUUGUUAAGUAGCCAAAACAGCAGUGAAACAAGGGUACCUGCCGACUGGUAUGCUAUAUAUAGACUCAGAGAGAAGACACUAUACCCACGCCAGGAAGAGAGGCCUCUGGAGAAACUGUCAAGUUAGCACCCGUUCUUAAGACACAAAACUCAAGCCUAUAAAUGAUCAAUAACUUAUAUCAUCCUCCACCCAUGUCAUCCUUUCAGGGAGCAUAUGCUACACAGGUACAUAGGAAGAGCUUUACCAGGACCUUCUCAGUGGCUUCUCUAGACAUGACUCUUCCUGGAAAUAAUCUUGAUAUUCAGAUAUUCAGCUGAUAGACCCUUCCUUUAUUCUUUUUUUUUUUUUUGGAGCUGGGGACCAAACCCAGGGCCUUGGGCUUCCUAGGCAAGCGCUCUACCACUGAGCUAAAUCCUGAACCCCUAGACCCUUCCUUUAAUGACUAUAGACCUUGAUAUGCCAUUCUCUCUUCAUCUAAUUUUCAUAUUUAUAUUUAUAAGAUGGGUGUUAAUGUAUUUGGGAAUGAAUCUGUAUGUGUGUGUGUGUGUGUGUGUGUGUGUGUGUGUGUGUGUGUGUGUGUAGAGACUCAAUCAUGUCAGCUGUUUCUUUCAUGACAUUCUCAAAAGUCAUUGACUACCAUGAGGUCAGGGAGUGAAACUUCAUGAAAUGCUUCAUGGGAGAUCCUAUUACAGCCUGGACAGCCUUUGAGCUUUUCUAAACUGAGUGAGGCUUGGCCUUUGUGACCUCACAUAGUGGGUCACUGUCCUGGCUAUGGGUGUGUCCUAGUUCUGAGGGCUGCAGAGUCUAUUAUAGGAGAAGGUGCCAGGGGUCCCUUUCAGGAAUAUUGGCAAUAGAUCAUGGCUAACAACAUAGUGGUUUUGGACAAAUAUGGACUCAAAAGUAUGUUGUACUUCAAUCCCCCAAAAAAUUAGAUAACUUGAACCUGAAAAUUUCUGGACCUAGAUAGGUGGCCCUGAAAUAUAAGAGGCCCAGAAAACAAACCGAAAAUAGUAUGUAUCCUUGACAAACCAUGAUCUUGAAGGAGUCCAGGUCCAAAACAAGUAGAGAUGUAGGCUUGGGUCAGUACCUGACCAUGAAGAGGCCCAGACCCAAAGGAAGAACUGAUAUGGGCCUGGGCCUAUGCCUAACCAUUGAAGAGGCCUGGGCCCAAAGAAGAAGAAAUAUGGGCCUAGGCCAAUCCCUGUUGCUAACAGGCCUGGGCCAUAAAGAAUUGAUGGGGGCCUGGGCCUCCCUAACCCUUGAAGAGGCCUGGACCCAAAGAAGAAGAAAUAUGGGCCUGGGCCAAUCCCUGACUGUGAAUAGGCCUGGGCCCAAAAGAAGUGAUGUGGGCCUGGGCCUAUCCCUAACCCUUGAAGAGGCCUGGGCCCAAAGAAGAAGAAAUAUGGACCUGGGCCAAUCCCUGACCCUGAAGACGCCUGGGGCCAAAAGAAGUGAUAUGGGCCUGGGCCUAACCUAACCUGUGAAGAGGCCUGGGCCCAAAGAAGAAGAAAUAUGGGCCUGGGCCAAUCCCUGACCCUGAAGAGGCCUGGGCCCAAAAGAAGUGAUGUGGGCCUGGGCCAAUCCCUGACCCUGAAGAGGCCUGGGCCCAAAAGAAGUGAUGUGGGCCUGGGUCUGUCCCUAACCCUUGAAGAGGCCUGGGCCCAAAGAAGAGGAAAUAUGGGCCUCGGCCAAUCCCUGACUGUGAAUAGGCCUGGGCCCAAAAGAAGUGAUGUGGGCCUGGGCCUAUCCCUUACCCUUGAAAAGGCCUGGGCCCAAAGAAGAAGAAAUAUGGGCCUGGGCCAAUCCCUGACCCUGAAGAGGCCUGGGCCCAAAAAAAGUGAUGUGGGCCUGGGCCAAUCCCUGACCCUGAAGAGGCCUGGGCCCAAAAAAGUGAUGUGGGCCUGGGCCUAUCCUUGACCCUGAAGAGGCCUGGGCCCCAAAGAAGUGAUGUGGGCCUGGGUCUGUCCCUAACCCUUGAAGAGGCCUGGGCCCAAAGAAGAGGAAAUAUGGGCCUAGGCCAAUCCCUGUUGCUAACAGGCCUGGGCCAUAAAGAAUUGAUGGGGGCCUGGGCCUCCCUAACCCUUGAAGAGGCCUGGACCCAAAGAAGAAGAAAUAUGGGCCUGGGCCAAUCCCUGACUGUGAAUAGGCCUGGGCCCAAAAGAAGUGAUGUGGGCCUGGGCCUAUCCUUAACCCUUGAAGAGGUCUGGGCCCAAAGAAGAAGAAAUAUGGGCCUGGGUCAAUCCCUGACCCUGAAGAGGCCUGGGCCCAAAAGAAGUGAUGUGGGCCUGGGCCUAUCCCUAACCCUUGAAGAGGCCUGGGCCCAAAGAAGAAGAAAUAUGGGCCUGGGCCAAUCCCUGACCCUGAAGACGCCUGGGGCCAAAAGAAGUGAUAUGGGCCUGGGCCUAACCUAACCUGUGAAGAGGCCUGGGCCCAAAGAAGAAGAAAUAUGGGCCUGGGCCAAUCCCUGACCCUGAAGAGGCCUGGGCCCAAAAGAAGUGAUGUGGGCCUGGGCCAAUCCCUGACCCUGAAGAGGCCUGGGCCCAAAAGAAGUGAUGUGGGCCUGGGUCUGUCCCUAACCCUUGAAGAGGCCUGGGCCCAAAGAAGAGGAAAUAUGGGCCUCGGCCAAUCCCUGACUGUGAAUAGGCCUGGGCCCAAAAGAAGUGAUGUGGGCCUGGGCCUAUCCCUUACCCUUGAAAAGGCCUGGGCCCAAAGAAGAAGAAAUAUGGGCCUGGGCCAAUCCCUGACCCUGAAGAGGCCUGGGCCCAAAAAAAGUGAUGUGGGCCUGGGCCAAUCCCUGACCCUGAAGAGGCCUGGGCCCAAAAAAGUGAUGUGGGCCUGGGCCUAUCCUUGACCCUGAAGAGGCCUGGGCCCCAAAGAAGUGAUGUGGGCCUGGGUCUGUCCCUAACCCUUGAAGAGGCCUGGGCCCAAAGAAGAGGAAAUAUGGGCCUAGGCCAAUCCCUGUUGCUAACAGGCCUGGGCCAUAAAGAAUUGAUGGGGGCCUGGGCCUCCCUAACCCUUGAAGAGGCCUGGACCCAAAGAAGAAGAAAUAUGGGCCUGGGCCAAUCCCUGACUGUGAAUAGGCCUGGGCCCAAAAGAAGUGAUGUGGGCCUGGGCCUAUCCUUAACCCUUGAAGAGGUCUGGGCCCAAAGAAGAAGAAAUAUGGGCCUGGGCCAAUCCCUGACCCUGAAGAGGCCUGGGCCCAAAAGAAGUGAUGUGGGCCUGGGCCUAUCCCUAACCCUUGAAGAGGCCUGGGCCCAAAGAAGAAGAAAUAUGGACCUGGGCCAAUCCCUGACCCUGAAGACGCCUGGGGCCAAAAGAAGUGAUAUGGACCUGGGCCUAACCUAACCUGUGAAGAGGCCUGGGCCCAAAGAAGAAGAAAUAUGGGCCUGGGCCACUCCCUGACCCUGAAGAGGCCUGGGCCCAAAAGAAGUGAUGUGGGCCUGGGCCAAUCCCUGACCCUGAAGAGGCCUGGGCCCAAAAGAAGUGAUGUGGGCCUGGGUCUGUCCCUAACCCUUGAAGAGGCCUGGGCCCAAAGAAGAAGAAAUAUGGGCCUGGGCCAAUCCCUGACCCUGAAGAGGCCUGGGCCCAAAAAAAGUGAUGUGGGCCUGGGCCAAUCCCUGACCCUGAAGAGGCCUGGGCCCAAAAAAGUGAUGUGUGCCUGGGCCCAAAAAAGUGAUGUGGGCCUGGGCCUAAAAAAGUGAUGUGGGCCUGGGCCUAUCCUUGACCCUGAAGAGGCCUGGGCCCCAAAGAAGUGAUGUGGGCCUGGGCCUAUCCCUAACCUUUGAUGAGGCCUGGGCCCAAAGAAGGAGAAAUAUGGACCUGGGCCAAUUCCUGGCACUUAAAUGGCCUGGGCCCAAAAGUAAUGAUGUGGGCCUGGGCCUAUCUCUAACCCUUGAAGGGGCCCAGGCCCAAAGAAGAUGAAAUAUGGGCCUGGGCCUAUGCCUAAUCCCUGAAGAGUCCUGAGCACAAAGAAAAAGAAAUAUGGGUUUGGGUCAAUCCCUACCCUAAAGUGGCCUGGGACAGAAAAAAAUGGGCCUGGGUCUAUCCCUAAUCCUUGAAGAGGCCAAAACCAAAGCAGAAAUAUGAGCCUGGGAUAAUCUCUGAUCCUGAGGAUGCUUGGCCCCAAAACAAUUAGAUUUGUGUGCUUGGGCUAACCCCUAGCCCUGAAGAGGCCUGGGCCAAAAUUAGAAGAGAUAUAGCCUGGGCCUCUCCUUAAUCCACAAGAGGCUCAGGUCCAAUUUAUAAGAUGUGUGGACCUAGGCUUAUCUCUUACCUUCAAGAAGCCUGGGCCCUAAGCAAGAAGGGAAUAUUGAUGUAGGCUAGUUCUUCAAAGAACAGGGUCUGGGCCAAAAGAUUAUUUCCAAUCCAAACCCUGACCCUGAACACCAUCAGUCCAUAUAAAAAAAAAAUGUGUCAAGGCCAGACUUUGAACCUGAUGAAGUUUGGGCCCAAAUGUAAUAUUGAAAUUAUCUUGUAUUUACCCUCACUCAAAGACCAAACAAAUAAGUGUGGCCAGGUCAAGACUAAAAUGAAACAACACUGUGGUUAGUAUACCAUGAAGUAGUCUAAUUCAAGGUCUUAAUUUCAACUGAUACCAUGACUAUUUAUGCCUAGGCCAUACCCACUACUCUAGGAUGGUUGGGCAUAACCACAAGAGGUCCUGGUGCAAUAAUGGCAAAGACCAUAGAGUGACAUCAGAGGGAUCCUGGCAGCUUCCUGACCACAGAAUACCCAAUGUCCAGCUUAAAUUCAAGGGUGUGUGUUACUCCCACUCUCUUUAUAAUUGUUGACAACUUUCACUAUAAGGAAGCAAGGAAUACACCAAGACCUUGUAGUUUUACAUUAUUCUUUAGCAGGCAUUUCGUACUCCAGCAUUGUGUAUAUAGUUUUCAAUAAAUAUAAUGUUCAUCUGCUA